Molecule: ribosomal RNA, 431 nt
Filed under: uncultured bacterium
Lineage: Bacteria
Description: partial 16S ribosomal RNA
Rfam family: Bacterial small subunit ribosomal RNA
Source: RNAcentral
AACGAACGCUGGCGGCAUGCCUAACACAUGCGAGUCGAACGAGACCUUCGGGUCUAGUGGCGCACGGGUGCGUAACGCGUGGGAACCUGCCCUUAGGUUCGGAAUAACUCCCCGAAAGGGGUGCUAAUACCGGAUAAUGUCUUCGGACCAAAGAUUUAUCGCCUUUGGAUGGGCCCGCGUUGGAUUAGCUAGUUGGUAGGGUAAAAGCCUACCAAGGCGACGAUCCAUAGCUGGUCUGAGAGGAUGAUCAGCCACACUGGGACUGAGACACGGCCCAGACUCCUACGGGAGGCAGCAGUGGGGAAUAUUGGACAAUGGGCGAAAGCCUGAGCCAGCAAUGCCGCGUGAGUGAUGAAGGCCUUAGGGUUGUAAAGCUCUUUUACCCGGGAUGAUAAUGACAGUACCGGGAGAAUAAGCUCCGGCUAACUCCG